RNAcentral lists this transfer RNA (73 nucleotides) under Spirochaetia bacterium. RNAcentral's name for it is "tRNA-Pro". It matches the Rfam family "tRNA". From Rfam's summary of the family: Transfer RNA (tRNA) molecules are approximately 80 nucleotides in length. Their secondary structure includes four short double-helical elements and three loops (D, anti-codon, and T loops). Lineage: Bacteria; Pseudomonadati; Spirochaetota; Spirochaetia. The record is from RNAcentral.
CGGCGGGUAGGCCAGUGGUUAAGCCACCAGUUUUGGGAACUGGACACCGGGGGUUCAAAUCCCCCCCCGCCGA